RNAcentral lists this long non-coding RNA (577 nucleotides) under Homo sapiens (human). Its description in RNAcentral is "HSALNT0189361". The record is from RNAcentral. Lineage: Eukaryota; Metazoa; Chordata; Mammalia; Primates; Hominidae.
UUUUGCGAUGUCGCCCAGGCUGGUCUCGAACUCCUGGGCUCAAGCGAUCUACACACCUUGGCCUCUCAACUGCUAGGAUUACAGGUGUCAGCCACCACACCCAGCCUAGUGCAUUGGUUUUUUUCAGGGCAGUGGGCAAAACGAACCAGUCGGGCUAUAACUUGACCUACAGAGGAGAGGGAUCACAGAGCUCUUUGAGGAUGCUGGGGCCCUCUCACAAAUUUAUUUCUCAUAGAACGAGCCAGCAUCUCCCUAUGUUGCCCAGGCUGGACUCGAACCUCUGAGCUGAAGUGAUCCUCCCCACUCGGUCUCCCAAAGUGCUGGGAUUACAGGCAUGAGCACUGUGCCUGUUCAAACAACUAAAUAAACCAUGUCUAAAGAAUGAAAAAGAAGUGUCUUUGUUUUCUGUUUCUUAUAACGGAAUACCUGAAACUGGGUUAUUUAUUUAUUUAUUUAUUUUGGAGAUGGAGUCUCACUCUGUUGCCCAGGCUGGAGUGCAGUGGCGUGACCUUGGCUCACUGCAACCUCCGCCUCCCAGGUUCCAGGGAUUCUCCUGCCUCAGCCUCCCCAGUAGCUG